Molecule: ribosomal RNA, 243 nt
Filed under: uncultured bacterium
Lineage: Bacteria
Description: partial 16S ribosomal RNA
Rfam family: Bacterial small subunit ribosomal RNA
Source: RNAcentral
UAACGCGUGGGCAACCUGCCCCACACUGGGGGACAACAGCUGGAAACGGCUGCUAAUACCGCAUAAGCGCACAGCUUCGCAUGAAGCAGUGUGAAAAAUUCCGGUGGUGUGGGAUGGGCCCGCGUCUGAUUAGCUAGUUGGUGAGGUAACGGCUCACCAAGGCGACGAUCAGUAGCCGGCCUGAGAGGGUGGACGGCCACAUUGGGACUGAGACACGGCCCAGACUCCUACGGGAGGCAGCAG